RNAcentral lists this ribosomal RNA (486 nucleotides) under uncultured bacterium. Its description in RNAcentral is "partial 16S ribosomal RNA". It matches the Rfam family "Bacterial small subunit ribosomal RNA", at positions 30 to 507 of the family's 1533-position model. The record is from RNAcentral.
AUUGAACGCUGGCGGCAUGCCUUACACAUGCAAGUCGAACGGCAGCACGGGUGCUUGCACCUGGUGGCGAGUGGCGAACGGGUGAGUAAUACAUCGGAACAUGUCCUGUAGUGGGGGAUAGCCCGGCGAAAGCCGGAUUAAUACCGCAUACGAUCCACGGAUGAAAGCGGGGGACCUUCGGGCCUCGCGCUAUAGGGUUGGCCGAUGGCUGAUUAGCUAGUUGGUGGGGUAAAGACCUACCAAGGCGACGAUCAGUAGCUGGUCUGAGAGGACGACCAGCCACACUGGGACUGAGACACGGCCCAGACUCCUACGGGAGGCAGCAGUGGGGAAUUUUGGACAAUGGGCGAAAGCCUGAUCCAGCAAUGCCGCGUGUGUGAAGAAGGCCUUCGGGUUGUAAAGCACUUUUGUCCGGAAAGAAAUCCUUGACUCUAAUACAGUCGGGGGAUGACGGUACCGGAAGAAUAAGCACCGGCUAACUACGUG